RNAcentral lists this ribosomal RNA (301 nucleotides) under uncultured bacterium. Its description in RNAcentral is "partial 16S ribosomal RNA". It matches the Rfam family "Bacterial small subunit ribosomal RNA", at positions 509 to 807 of the family's 1533-position model. The record is from RNAcentral.
CAGCCGCCGCGGGAAUACGGAGGGUGCGAGCGUUAAUCGGAAUAACUGGGCGUAAAGGGCACGCAGGCGGUGACUUAAGUGUGGUGUGAAAGCCCCGGGCUUAACCUGGGAAUUGCAUUUCAUACUGGGUCGCUAGAGUACUUUAGGGAGGGGUAGAAUUCCACGUGUAGCGGUGAAAUGCGUAGAGAUGUGGAGGAAUACCGAAGGCGAAGGCAGCCCCUUGGGAAGGUACUGACGCUCAUGUGCGAAAGCGUGGGGAGCAAACAGGAUUAGAUACCCCUGUAGUCCCUGUCUCUUAUAC